Molecule: ribosomal RNA, 554 nt
Filed under: Fusarium oxysporum
Lineage: Eukaryota; Fungi; Ascomycota; Sordariomycetes; Hypocreales; Nectriaceae
Description: eukaryotic LSU rRNA
Rfam family: 5.8S ribosomal RNA (bases 204-357)
Source: RNAcentral
UGGAAGUAAAAGUCGUAACAAGGUCUCCGUUGGUGAACCAGCGGAGGGAUCAUUACCGAGUUUACAACUCCCAAACCCCUGUGAACAUACCACUUGUUGCCUCGGCGGAUCAGCCCGCUCCCGGUAAAACGGGACGGCCCGCCAGAGGACCCCUAAACUCUGUUUCUAUAUGUAACUUCUGAGUAAAACCAUAAAUAAAUCAAAACUUUCAACAACGGAUCUCUUGGUUCUGGCAUCGAUGAAGAACGCAGCAAAAUGCGAUAAGUAAUGUGAAUUGCAGAAUUCAGUGAAUCAUCGAAUCUUUGAACGCACAUUGCGCCCGCCAGUAUUCUGGCGGGCAUGCCUGUUCGAGCGUCAUUUCAACCCUCAAGCACAGCUUGGUGUUGGGACUCGCGUUAAUUCGCGUUCCUCAAAUUGAUUGGCGGUCACGUCGAGCUUCCAUAGCGUAGUAGUAAAACCCUCGUUACUGGUAAUCGUCGCGGCCACGCCGUUAAACCCCAACUUCUGAAUGUUGACCUCGGAUCAGGUAGGAAUACCCGCUGAACUUAAGCAUA